GGUAAUGGCCUACCAAGGCGACGACGGGUAGCCGGCCUGAGAGGGCGACCGGCCACACUGGGACUGAGACACGGCCCAGACUCCUACGGGAGGCAGCAGUGGGGAAUAUUGCACAAUGGGCGAAAGCCUGAUGCAGCGACGCCGCGUGAGGGAUGACGGCCUUCGGGUUGUAAACCUCUUUCAGCAGGGAAGAAGCGAAAGUGACGGUACCUGCAGAAGAAGCGCCGGCUAACUACGUGCCAGCAGCCGCGGUAAUACGUAGGGCGCAAGCGUUGUCCGGAAUUAUUGGGCGUAAAGAGCUCGUAGGCGGCUUGUCACGUCGGAUGUGAAAGCCCGAGGCUUAACCUCGGGUCUGCAUUCGAUACGGGCUAGCUAGAGUGUGGUAGGGGAGAUCGGAAUUCCUGGUGUAGCGGUGAAAUGCGCAGAUAUCAGGAGGAACACCGGUGGCGAAGGCGGAUCUCUGGGCCAUUACUGACGCUGAGGAGCGAAAGCGUGGGGAGCGAACAGGAUUAGAUACCCUGGUAGUCCACGCCGUAAACGUUGGGAACUAGGUG
RNAcentral lists this ribosomal RNA (554 nucleotides) under Streptomycetaceae bacterium. RNAcentral describes it as "bacterial SSU rRNA". It matches the Rfam family "Bacterial small subunit ribosomal RNA", at positions 256 to 822 of the family's 1533-position model. Lineage: Bacteria; Bacillati; Actinomycetota; Actinomycetes; Kitasatosporales; Streptomycetaceae. The record is from RNAcentral.